GACGUUUACAAUACACGACAUGUAAGACAGUUUGGCCGAGUGGUCUAAGGCGCCAGAUUUAGGCUCUGGUCCGAAAGGGCGUGGGUUCAAAUCCCACAG
Lupinus albus (white lupine) is the source of this 99-nucleotide non-coding RNA. The record is from the annotation of a GenBank genome assembly. NCBI's taxonomy places the organism in Eukaryota, Viridiplantae, Streptophyta, Magnoliopsida, Fabales, Fabaceae.